AGUGAACGCUGGCGGUAGGCCUAACACAUGCAAGUCGAACGGCAGCACAGUAAGAGCUUGCUCUUACGGGUGGCGAGUGGCGGACGGGUGAGGAAUACAUCGGAAUCUACUUUUUCGUGGGGGAUAACGUAGGGAAACUUACGCUAAUACCGCAUACGACCUACGGGUGAAAGCAGGGGAUCUUCGGACCUUGCGCGAUUGAAUGAGCCGAUGUCGGAUUAGCUAGUUGGCGGGGUUAAGGCCCACCAAGGCGACGAUCCGUAGCUGGUCUGAGAGGAUGAUCAGCCACACUGGAACUGAGACACGGUCCAGACUCCUACGGGAGGCAGCAGUGGGGAAUAUUGGACAAUGGGCGCAAGCCUGAUCCAGCCAUACCGCGUGGGUGAAGAAGGCCUUCGGGUUGUAAAGCCCUUUUGUUGGGAAAGAAAAGCAGCAGGUUAAUACCCCGCUGUUCUGACGGUACCCAAAGAAUAAGCACCGGCUAACUUCGUG
Molecule: ribosomal RNA, 492 nt
Filed under: uncultured bacterium
Lineage: Bacteria
Description: partial 16S ribosomal RNA
Rfam family: Bacterial small subunit ribosomal RNA
Source: RNAcentral